UCCCCGCAGGGCGCGAAGGAGAAACUGAUAGUCCGCAGUGGGGUGAACUUAAAGACCUGACUUUCAUUAGCGUGGUGUUGUAACAGACUGGCCUCUGAGGAAAUGGACUUUACGUUAUGAAUUCAUAUCUGGUUUCCAGUUCACAGGCUCCAAUAUUAGGACUCUCCAACUUUUUUUCUGAUUCAGCAUAAAAAUGGUGACCUGUCUCCUGACCUGCCGCCUGAUCUGCCUGCCAGGGUGGAUGCAGACCAACGUUUGCAAACCUUAACGGACAGUGUGAAUGCUGAUUGGAAAGACAGCAACUGGAGCUCACAAAUAAUUUCCCCAAAGGUCAAUUAGACAGACCCACAAGAUAUCUCUGGCACACAUAGGAAGUAUCGGCCUCAUCUAUAUUUAUUGUAAUUCCCUUCUCCCUGGUCCCAUUAAAGGAGAGUUUGGGGUGCAAUAAAUAUUUCAUGAUAAAAAUGUCCA
This 471-nucleotide long non-coding RNA is filed under the name Piliocolobus tephrosceles (Ugandan red Colobus). RNAcentral describes it as "lncRNA (ENSPTEG00000035121.1)". Lineage: Eukaryota; Metazoa; Chordata; Mammalia; Primates; Cercopithecidae. The record is from RNAcentral.